This 497-nucleotide ribosomal RNA is filed under the name uncultured bacterium. Its description in RNAcentral is "partial 16S ribosomal RNA". It matches the Rfam family "Bacterial small subunit ribosomal RNA", at positions 28 to 507 of the family's 1533-position model. The record is from RNAcentral.
GAUGAACCCUGGCGGCGUGCCUAAUACAUGCAAGUCGAGCGAACAGAUGAGGAGCUUGCUCCUCUGACGUUAGCGGCGGACGGGUGAGUAACACGUGGAUAACCUACCUAUAAGACUGGGAUAACUUCGGGAAACCGGAGCUAAUACCGGAUAAUAUAUUGAACCGCAUGGUUCAAUAGUGAAAGACGGUUUUGCUGUCACUUAUAGAUGGAUCCGCGCCGCAUUAGCUAGUUGGUAAGGUAACGGCUUACCAAGGCAACGAUGCGUAGCCGACCUGAGAGGGUGAUCGGCCACACUGGAACUGAGACACGGUCCAGACUCCUACGGGAGGCAGCAGUAGGGAAUCUUCCGCAAUGGGCGAAAGCCUGACGGAGCAACGCCGCGUGAGUGAUGAAGGUCUUCGGAUCGUAAAACUCUGUUAUUAGGGAAGAACAAAUGUGUAAGUAACUAUGCACGUCUUGACGGUACCUAAUCAGAAAGCCACGGCUAACUACGUG